RNAcentral lists this transfer RNA (88 nucleotides) under Priestia aryabhattai. RNAcentral's name for it is "Bacillus aryabhattai tRNA-OTHER". It matches the Rfam family "tRNA". Rfam says of the family: Transfer RNA (tRNA) molecules are approximately 80 nucleotides in length. Lineage: Bacteria; Bacillati; Bacillota; Bacilli; Caryophanales; Bacillaceae. The record is from RNAcentral.
GGACUUGUAGCUCAAUGGCAGAGCAGCCAGUCGUAUUACACUAUACAACUUUGGUGUCUUGCAGGUUCAAAUCCUGCCGAGUCCGCCC